This 492-nucleotide ribosomal RNA is filed under the name uncultured bacterium. RNAcentral's name for it is "partial 16S ribosomal RNA". It matches the Rfam family "Bacterial small subunit ribosomal RNA", at positions 30 to 507 of the family's 1533-position model. The record is from RNAcentral.
AUUGAACGCUGGCGGCAUGCUUUACACAUGCAAGUCGAACGGUAACAGGCCUUCGGGUGCUGACGAGUGGCGAACGGGUGAGUAAUGCAUCGGAACGUGCCCAGAGGUGGGGGAUAACGCAGCGAAAGCUGUGCUAAUACCGCAUGUGAUCUGAGGAUGAAAGCGGGGGACCAAGCAGCAAUGUUUGGCCUCGCGCCUCUGGAGCGGCCGAUGUCAGAUUAGGUAGUUGGUGGGGUAAAGGCCUUCCAAGCCGACGAUCUGUAGCUGGUCUGAGAGGACGACCAGCCACACUGGGACUGAGACACGGCCCAGACUCCUACGGGAGGCAGCAGUGGGGAAUUUUGGACAAUGGGCGCAAGCCUGAUCCAGCAAUGCCGCGUGCGGGAAGAAGGCCUUCGGGUUGUAAACCGCUUUUGUACGGAACGAAAAGGCUCUGGCUAAUACCUGGGGCUGAUGACGGUACCGUAAGAAUAAGCACCGGCUAACUACGUG